GGAGGUUGGCUUAGAAGCAGCCAUCCUUGAAAGAGUGCGUAAUAGCUCACUGGUCGAGUGGUUGUGCGCCGAUAAUGUAGCGGGGCUUAAGCGUGCCGCCGAAGCCGUGGCAAUAACUUUUUGUUUUUGGGUAGGGGAGCGUCCUGCUCUGGGUGAAGCUGCCUGGUGAUGGGUGGUGGACGGGGUGGGAGUGAGAAUGCAGGCAUGAGUAGCGUUUCGUGGGUGAGAAUCCUACGCGCUGAUUGACUAAGGGUUCCAGGGGCAGGUUUGUCCGCCCUGGGUUAGUCGGGUCCUAAGGCGAGGCCGACAGGCGUAGUCGAUGGGUGACCAGUUGAUAUUCUGGUACCGUUUGUUUUCCGUCUAACGCUGCAUGCUUUCGCGUCGUGUGCUUGCCGUGCGUGGUGUUGUCUUUCGGGAUGAUGCUGAGUGUGGCUGUGUGUGGUGUGGGGUGUGUGGUGAGCAUUGGGGUGACGCAGGGAGGUAGUUGCUGCACACUGGUGGUUAUGUGUGUCUAAGGUUGUGGCCUGUUUCUUGGGUGAAAUCCGGGAAGCUGCGUUUGAUCGCGUGGGUGAGGGCUGAUGGGGCUGCCUGUUGGGGUGGCUAGUGGUGAUCCUGUACUGCCGAGAAAAGCCUGGAUGUGAGGAAGAUGAGCGCCCGUACCCUAAACCGACUCUGGUGGUCAGGUAGAGUAUACCGAGGCGUGCGAGUGAAUCAUGGUUAAGGAAUUCGGCAAAUUGCCCCCGUAACUUUGGGAUAAGGGGGGCCCUGCUGGUGUGCCUGCUUUUGCGUGGGUGGUGCUGGUUGGGGUCGCAGAGAAUUGGGAGAAGCGACUGUUUAUUAAAAACAUAGGUGUGUGCUAAGCCGUAAGGCGCUGUAUACGCACUGACGCCUGCCCGGUGCUGGAAGGUUAAGAGGACGACUUAACUGCUUUUUUGUGGUGAAGGUUUGAAUUUAAGCCCCAGUAAACGGCGGUGGUAACUAUAACCAUCCUAAGGUAGCGAAAUUCCUUGUCGGGUAAGUUCCGACCUGCACGAAUGGCGUAACGACUUCUCCGCUGUCUCGACCGUGAUCUCGGUGAAAUUGCAGUACGAGUAAAGAUGCUCGUUUCGCGCAGCAGGACGGAAAGACCCCGGGACCUUUACUAUAGCUUGGUAUUGGUGUGUGUUUGUGCUUGUGUAGGAUAGGUGGGAGACUGUGAUGCCGUGCCGCUAGGUGUGGUGGAGUCGUUGGUGAAAUACCAUUCUGGUUCAAGUAUGCAUCUAACUUGGAGCCCUGAUCGGGUUUGGGGACAGUGCCUGGUGGGUAGUUUAACUGGGGCGGUUGCCUCCUAAAGGGUAACGGAGGCGCUCAAAGGUUCUCUCAGCCUGGUUGGUGAUCAGGUGGUGAGUGUAAGUGCACAAGAGGGCUUGACUGUGACACUGACGGGUGGAGCAGGUACGAAAGUAGGAACUAGUGAUCCGGCCAUGGCUUGUGGAAGCGUGGUCGCUCAACGGAUAAAAGGUACCCCGGGGAUAACAGGCUGAUCUUGCCCAAGAGUCCAUAUCGACGGCAUGGUUUGGCACCUCGAUGUCGGCUCGUCGC
This 1581-nucleotide ribosomal RNA is filed under the name human gut metagenome. RNAcentral describes it as "bacterial LSU rRNA". It matches the Rfam family "Bacterial large subunit ribosomal RNA", at positions 1096 to 2543 of the family's 2925-position model. The record is from RNAcentral.